UACGUAGGGUGCGAGCGUUAAUCGGAAUUACUGGGCGUAAAGCGUGCGCAGGCGGUUUUGUAAGCCAGAUGUGAAAGCCCCGGGCUUAACCUGGGAAUGGCAUUUGGGACUGCAAGGCUUGAGUGCGGCAGAGGAGACUGGAAUUCCUGGUGUAGCAGUGAAAUGCGUAGAUAUCGCUUGGAACGCCAACGGUGAAAACAGGUUGCUGGGGGUGUGCUGACGCUGAGACACGAAAGCCAGGGGAGCGAACGGG
Molecule: ribosomal RNA, 253 nt
Filed under: uncultured bacterium
Lineage: Bacteria
Description: partial 16S ribosomal RNA
Rfam family: Bacterial small subunit ribosomal RNA
Source: RNAcentral